Molecule: long non-coding RNA, 1207 nt
Organism: Nilaparvata lugens (brown planthopper)
Lineage: Eukaryota; Metazoa; Arthropoda; Insecta; Hemiptera; Delphacidae
Exons: 5
Source: RefSeq, a predicted model, not a curated record
CAACACAAUCCCUACCGGGCGACCAGAAGACCAAGUUGCACUUCAAGGGUAGUGUUGCCGAGAAGCCAGACGAGAGGCGCUACAGACUGAGGCCGAGCUGGUGUUGCCCAGUGGUCGCAAAUACAGUGGCAAGUACUUCGGCAAGUACUCGCAUCAGCCGACGACUACAACGCAGAGGUCGACACUGAGUUCAGUCACCAGCCGCCUCAGGGCACUGCUUGCAAGAUCGCUUUCAAGGCUAACGCUAAGAACAUCAACGCAGCCAAGAGAACAAUUGACGGACAGGCUACUUUCAGUAUGGUUGACCCCGAAGGCAAGGACCUGAAGGCACACACCGUUCUCAAGAAGGCACUCAACGGAGACAAUGGAUCAUUUUGGCUCAGGGUUCAGUUUCGGGCAGCAAGAUCAAGUACCCAGUCAGCGCCAAAUUCGACUCUGAAGUAUCGGACCAGUUCCUGCGUUCGGCCUACGUGUCAUCCGACCACUCGUUCUCGCCCGCUUCCUAUCAGAUGUCGGCCUCAGUUGGCAACGAGAUCUCGGUGGCCAGCAACGGAAAGGUCAACGGUCAUCAGAUGAACCACGACCUUGAGGUCAAACUGCCAGCUGAGUACAACAUCAAGUCGUUCAAGUGGGCAUCUACCACUACUUCGACCCCGCUGAGAAGAUCAAACUGACCAACGCACUGAACUGGAACGAGAACAAGUUCUUCAAGAUCGCCGCCGAAGGUAACCGCGAGGCGAACGGUCUGGCUGGCAAGCUGGAAUGGGAGAGCGAUGCCAAGUCGCAGCGGACUCUGACCGCCAACGUUCAUUACCAGCCGACCGCUUCGGGUGACCGCGCGUUCGACGCCGCUGUCAAGCUGGCCUACGAGGGCAAGGUGGCCGACGUCAACGUGAAGGCCGAAUACGCCAAGGCUAGCGAAACUGCACAGGUUCACCUCAACGGUAACUUGCCGCAGCAGGGCAAAUUCGACAUCUCUGUCAAGAAUAAGGCAACACCAGGAGGCAAGGGCUUCCAGACCGACAUCAGUUUGAAUGUGAACGAGAAGAAGAUCACGGUGACAAAUCACGUGGAGCUGGACCCUGAGAACCCUCUCGUUGACCUGGUGGCCGAACACCCCCAGGGCAAGUCCAAGGUUUAUGUCAAGUUGGAGAAGAAGGGACAGCGUCACUGGGCCGGAGAGAGCAAGGUAUUAGUCGUUUAUUCA